UAAACCAUAUGUGGCAUUACAAAUACAUAAUCUAUUCAGACAUAGUAAUUACGAGAAUGAAGCACGUGGUGUUACACAGUUCAUCGAAAAUACACCAAUCAAAAUAUCAAGAAUCUUUAAGUAAAUUCACCGCCAUUGUCAUCUACCAACUCAGCCAACCCAUUAAUCAUAUAAAAAAAUUUGGAAGCAAAAAAAUACUGUAUA
RNAcentral lists this long non-coding RNA (204 nucleotides) under Olea europaea (common olive). RNAcentral describes it as "long non-coding RNA (OEUR_LNC013113)". The record is from RNAcentral. Lineage: Eukaryota; Viridiplantae; Streptophyta; Magnoliopsida; Lamiales; Oleaceae.